GACGAACGCUGGCGGCGUGCCUAAUACAUGCAAGUCGAACGAGAGCGACCGGUGCUUGCACUGGUCAAUCUAGUGGCGAACGGGUGAGUAACACGUGGGUAACCUGCCCAUCAGAGGGGGAUAACAUCCGGAAACGGAUGCUAAAACCGCAUAGGUCUUCGAGCCGCAUGGCUUGAAGAGGAAAAGAGGCGCAAGCUUCUGCUGAUGGAUGGACCCGCGGUGCAUUAACUAGUUGGUGAGGUAACGGCUCACCAAGGCCGUGAUGCAUAGCCGACCUGAGAGGGUGAUCGGCCACAUUGGGACUGAGACACGGCCCAAACUCCUACGGGAGGCAGCAGUAGGGAAUCUUCCGCAAUGGACGCAAGUCUGACGGAGCAACGCCGCGUGAGUGAAGAAGGUUUUCGGAUCGUAAAACUCUGUUGUUAGAGAAGAACAAGUGCUAGAGUAACUGUUAGC
This 456-nucleotide ribosomal RNA is filed under the name Granulicatella adiacens. RNAcentral describes it as "bacterial SSU rRNA". It matches the Rfam family "Bacterial small subunit ribosomal RNA", at positions 28 to 473 of the family's 1533-position model. The record is from RNAcentral. Lineage: Bacteria; Bacillati; Bacillota; Bacilli; Lactobacillales; Carnobacteriaceae.